CAUAUGGUCAGAUACAAGAAUGAUAGUUAAUUUAUUAAAUACCCAAUCUGAAAAUUUUCAGCAGUGGCAUCAUUGGCAGAUGUUAUAAAAAAUGCGAGUUUUGACAGCUCUCUCUCGAAUCAAAGAGUUUCGUACCAUGUUAUCUAUGAUCUAUGCACGUCAAAUAAACCUAGGGUUAUCCAUGAUGAUGCACGUGGUGCAAGUAGUUAAGAAUUGUGGCACCCAGAAGCAAUGGAAAUUUUAAAGACUUUAUGGAGCUUUACCAAUGUUCCGGCUCCACAAUAUUCUAUCAAUUUAGGUGUUGGAGUUUAAAUUUCUAUGUAUAAUAUGUCUAAAGAACCUGCACCGUAUCGUUGUGACGUAUGAAGCGUUAAUGUAUCUAAUUAUGAAAAUUUUUUACAAGAACGUCUGAAUAUUACUGUGAAAAUAAGUAUUGCAGACAAAAUGAUUAAUGUCAUUGGUAUAUAGCAUGAUUAACCAAUCGCCAAGAUCUAACAAGGUUUGCUGAUUACCAUACCCGCAUACGAUGCAGUGUACGCCAUAGACUCGAUAAAAUAGUCCAGGCGUCAUAGUCUGAUGGCAAGUUGAGAUGUGCACGGAGUAGUUACAAAAAGUGGAAAAACCUUCAACAUAUACAUAUUAUAAAGCUUUAUUUGUACUUUGAAGGAUGAAAUCGCAGAAAAAUACAUUAAAAGAAUAUGUUCGGCAACUAAGGAACUUUGCAGCUCAUUAGCCUUAUGCGAGAGGAAGGUAUAUUUAAUGUUUAUUCGAUCAUAAGAAAUAUCUCUGUAAUUAAUGUAUGCUUUCAACAUUGUUUACUAGCAAUGAAUAGACCUGAUAAAACCGUUGAGCGUUGAAUAAAAAAAAAUACACAAAUAUUCCACUAGA
This 888-nucleotide unclassified non-coding RNA is filed under the name Bactrocera latifrons. RNAcentral describes it as "uncharacterized LOC108968167, transcript variant X3". Lineage: Eukaryota; Metazoa; Arthropoda; Insecta; Diptera; Tephritidae. The record is from RNAcentral.